RNAcentral lists this ribosomal RNA (427 nucleotides) under uncultured bacterium. RNAcentral describes it as "bacterial SSU rRNA". It matches the Rfam family "Bacterial small subunit ribosomal RNA", at positions 355 to 774 of the family's 1533-position model. The record is from RNAcentral.
UGGGGAAUUUUGGACAAUGGGCGCAAGCCUGAUCCAGCAAUGCCGCGUGCAGGAUGAAGGCCUUCGGGUUGUAAACUGCUUUUGUACGGAACGAAAAGGCUCUGGUUAAUACCUGGGACUCAUGACGGUACCGUAAGAAUAAGCACCGGCUAACUACGUGCCAGCAGCCGCGGUAAUACGUAGGGUGCAAGCGUUAAUCGGAAUUACUGGGCGUAAAGCGUGCGCAGGCGGUUAUAUAAGACAGAUGUGAAAUCCCCGAGCUCAACCUGGGACCUGCAUUUGUGACUGUAUAGCUAGAGUACGGUAGAGGGGGAUGGAAUUCCACGUGUAGCAGUGAAAUGCGUAGAUAUGCGGAGGAACACCGAUGGCGAAGGCAAUCCCCUGGACCUGUACUGACGCUCAUGCACGAAAGCGUGGGGAGCAAACA